Perognathus longimembris pacificus (Pacific pocket mouse) is the source of this 1630-nucleotide RNA transcript. It is a transcript of the gene named casein kinase I-like, with no coding region annotated. Lineage: Eukaryota; Metazoa; Chordata; Mammalia; Rodentia; Heteromyidae. The transcript is spliced from 2 exons. The record is from RefSeq and is a predicted model, not a curated record.
AUGCCGAGGCCGGCCCUGGCGGCGCGUGAGCCGGAGCGGGGCCCAGGCGGGCGCCAGAGCCGGAGCCGGAGCGCGAGGGCGCGCGGGGCCCGGAGCGGGGGACGCCGCGCUGCUGAGGCCGGCCGCCGCCACCGCCCGCGGGCCCCAGACGGAGCGCAGCUGGGUGCCACAAGAUUUGAGGCUGUGGGACCUGUCCGCAGAAUGUCUCCUCUCUCUCCAAGCAAGCCUGAGGCCACCAAGAUGAGCACCGCGGCUGAGCCCACGAGCGUGGCUGCGAGGGAAAGGGGAGUUGGAGGAGGGCCAGAGAAUGUCCAAGACCGGCGGAGGCCGGAGCAGCCAUGGCGUCCGGAGCUCGGGGACCAGCUCAGGGGUCCUAAUGGUGGGCCCCAAAUUCCGAGUUGGCAAGAAGAUAGGCUGAAGACAGUGCUCAUGAUUGCCAUCCAGCUGAUCACACGCAUGGAGCAUGUGCACACCAAGAGCCUCAUCUACCGAGACGUGAAGCCGGAGAACUUUCUGGUGGGGCGCCCGGGGACCCAGCGACAGCACUCCAUCCACAUCAUCGACUUUGGGCUGGCCAAGGAGUACAUCGACCCCGAGACCAGGAAGCACAUCCCGUACCGCGAGCACAAGAGCCUGACGGGCACUGCGCGCUCCAUGAGCAUCAACACGCACCUGGGCAAGGAGCGGAGCCGCCGCCACGACCUGGAGGCGCUGGGCCACAUGUUCAUGUACUUCCUGCGUGGCAGGCUGUCCUGGCAGGGACUCAAGGCCGACACGCUCAAAGAGCGGUACCAGAAGAUCGGGGACACCAAGCGAGCCCCGCCCAUCGAGGUGCUGUGCGCCAGCUUCCCAGAGGAGGUGGCCACGUACCUGCGCUAGGUGCGCCGCCUGGACUCCUUUGAGAAGCCGGAUUACGACUACCUGCGGAAGCUCUUCACUGACCUCUUUGACCGCAGCGGCUACGUGUUCAACUACGAGUAGGACUGGGCGGGGAAGCCUCUGCCAACACCCAUUGGCACCAUUCACACCGACCUCCCUGCCCAGCCCCAGCACCGGGACAAAGCCCAGCCAUACAACAAAAACCACACACUGAACUCUAGCAAUGAAGAGCUGAACGCAGAUGACCCCACAGCCGGUCACGCCAACGCCCCCAUCACAGCCCCUGCAGAGGUGGAGGUGGCUGAUGACACCAAGUGCUGCUGCUUCUUCAAGAGGACGAAGAGAAAAGCGUUGCAGCGGCACAAAUGACCCAGGUGCCUGCAGUGCUGUGACUUUCUCCGUGCAGCCCUGGGGCGCUUGUUCAGGACGCCCAGGGGCUCCAUCCUCAGCGGCCCGGGAUCCAAGCCCAGCCAAAGCCAGGGCGCAAACUGUGGGACUCCAAGGGCCCAGAGCGGCCACAGGCCCCCACCCCCGGGACGUGGGGUCACUUCCUUCACGUAAGACUUUGGCUGAAAUUUCUACACCCGUGUCUAGUCCUCCCCUCUGAGAGCAUUAACUAUUUAAAACAAGGAUAAAAGGAACAAAGCAGAGGCCACCCUGCGCUCGCCCCUCCUGCCGCCCGUGCUCAAGCGCCUAGCGUGGCCCCGGAGGCCCAGGCCGCCCACCCCCGUUGGCCUCAUCAAGUCCAGCU